UCGUCUGCGAUAACUUCUUCACUCAACUUAGUACCGACUACAUAAAUAUAUCUAAUAAAUGUUCAUUUCACAGUUUAGUAACUUUGAACAAACUUCACCGUGUUUCUUUUCGUGAAAAAAUAGUGUUUGUUUACUAUUAGGUAGUAGGUCUAGGUACCUAAAUGUUAAAUUAUCACUUAUAAUCAUACCUGAUAAAAAUUUGAAAUGCUUUGUUUGAAGAGUGUGAUUCUUGUAUUUAUUCUAAUUUGUUCUACUGUAUUGUUAGCGGGAAACUGUGGUGAGCCGUCAGGUGGAUUGACUCAUGAUGAAAUAGAAAAUUUGCCAGAACGUGUAAAAACAGAAUACAAGAAAGUAGUGCUAGAAAAUAAUGACCUCAAACAAGAAAGAAAUGACCUCAAACAAGAAGUCGAUUAUUUCCGAUAUUACUUAGGUUAAUUAAAUAUAGUCACUCAUUCUAUUUUAGUGGAUAUCGUGGCCCUACCCCCCCGAAUCCGAAAAAAGCUACUCGAACAGAUUCGCCUCAGAAGAAAAAACUUCGAAAAACUUCCACCUUUGAAGAUUGGUUUAUGUUGCAUUUGCGACAUAUACUGGGUCGACAUAACCUUUGACAAGCACAGUGGAGUGGCCUUUAAAGGGCCACACAUGGUUCUGUUAAGACAUUUUUCCAUAACUUAUAACGGAGGGAAGCCCGACCACAUCGCGGUGUUCGGUUAUCCGAUUAGCUCCGCACCAGAUAGAUUUAUACCUUCCUCCAGAAUUUUAACUUUCAGACUUCUCCUUUGAUAAGGACUACAGACUUACAAAAAGGUCAUAUCUAUAUAACCAACUUUUGCAGUUUGACAGUAGAAUUCUACUGUCAAACUGCAAAAGUUGGUUAUAUAGAUAUGACCUUUUUGUAAGUCUGUAGUCCUUAUCAAAGGAGAAGUCUGAUGUUGUGUUCGGGUCAUACCGGAACCUGGCUUUGUUGGCCGGCUUAAUACAACAAUGUGCACAUAUAUCAAGCAAAUCCCAAUAGAUAUUAACCGCAAUGGGAGAUCCCAUCUAUUCGACUUCAUCUGGGCUGAAUAUAUGAUAAUUAAAAUAAUUUUCUUGCGCCUGUGUUAAAACGACAUACCAAUCCUGAGCUGCGUUCAUUUUGAAAUACUAAAAAAUACCAUAUCUAGGUUUUGGAUGGUUUAUUUUUUGCGCAUUUUUUUUUACUCAGCACUCCUAAAGUUGUUUAUUUAUUCUCUAUGACCUUUUUUUGUCUUUUUACUUCAUAAUUUAUGUUGUGCAAGCCUACGCUGAAUGCCUGAAAAAUUCCUUAUGAAGAAUCCUUGUAUAUACAAUUUCAUUUACUUUUAUCUGUUCUUUGUAAAUUGAUACCUACAACUGCUGUUUAAUGUAAUUCAUAAAAUUAAAUAUUUGAUUUUAUCGCA
Long non-coding RNA from Planococcus citri (citrus mealybug), 1418 nucleotides. RefSeq lists it as uncharacterized. The record is from RefSeq and is a predicted model, not a curated record. The transcript has 4 exons. NCBI's taxonomy places the organism in Eukaryota, Metazoa, Arthropoda, Insecta, Hemiptera, Pseudococcidae.